Long non-coding RNA from Daphnia magna, 320 nucleotides. RefSeq lists it as uncharacterized. The transcript has 2 exons. Lineage: Eukaryota; Metazoa; Arthropoda; Branchiopoda; Diplostraca; Daphniidae. The record is from RefSeq and is a predicted model, not a curated record.
AUACAUCAAGCAUGAAGCAACCAUGCAAUAAAUCAAGAUGUUGAGCAGCUGUCAGUCACUUUGGUAAUUGAGCCUGUUUCUUCCUCUGCUCUUCCAGCCAUUCAUCCUUUGACAGAGGAUUAUUCAAAGGGCAAUAUCUCAGCCCACGAGACUGGCUGUGUCCCGUAUCCGCGGUCAUCACCAAUCCGCAACUACGGCAGAGCUGCGCCCGCUGCUGCUGCUUCGGCUUCAGCCUUCCUUUUACGUUAAUCUGUGGUUCGUCGGGCUCGUCCUCGCGGUGGAUUCGCCUCCGACGAAGGCCCUGCAAUGGCUUGAAAAAG